AGUGAACGCUGGCGGUAGGCCUAACACAUGCAAGUCGAACGGCAGCACAGUAAGAGCUUGCUCUUACGGGUGGCGAGUGGCGGACGGGUGAGGAAUACAUCGGAAUCUACUUUUUCGUGGGGGAUAACGUAGGGAAACUUACGCUAAUACCGCAUACGACCUACGGGUGAAAGCAGGGGAUCUUCGGACCUUGCGCGAUUGAAUGAGCCGAUGUCGGAUUAGAUAGUUAGCGGGGUAAAGGCCCACCAAGGCGACGAUCCGUAGCUGGUCUGAGAGGAUGAUCAGCCACACUGGAACUGAGACACGGUCCAGACUCCUACGGGAGGCAGCAGUGGGGAAUAUUGGACAAUGGGCGCAAGCCUGAUCCAGCCAUACCGCGUGGGUGAAGAAGGCCUUCGGGUUGUAAAGCCCUUUUGUUGGGAAAGAAAAGCAGCAGGUUAAUACCCCGCUGUUCUGACGGUACCCAAAGAAUAAGCACCGGCUAACUUCGUG
RNAcentral lists this ribosomal RNA (492 nucleotides) under uncultured bacterium. RNAcentral's name for it is "partial 16S ribosomal RNA". It matches the Rfam family "Bacterial small subunit ribosomal RNA", at positions 29 to 507 of the family's 1533-position model. The record is from RNAcentral.